GUACACACCGCCCGUCACACCAUGGGAGUUGGUUUCACCCGAAGGCAGUGCGCUAACCGCAAGGAGGCAGCUGACCACGGUGGGAUCAUCGACUGGGGUGAAGUCGUAACAAGGUAGCUGUAGGUGAACCUGCAGAAGGAUCA
Molecule: ribosomal RNA, 143 nt
Filed under: uncultured eukaryote
Lineage: Eukaryota
Description: partial small subunit ribosomal RNA
Rfam family: Bacterial small subunit ribosomal RNA
Source: RNAcentral